UGUAGUGGGUGAAAAUCUUAAAUAAUUCCAAAGGAAAACAUGCAAAAACAAUCAGGAAAAUUCAGUGACUCUACUUGGGACUCAGAACUGAGUUCAAAUAUGAGACCAUCCAGGGCUUUCAAUAGUCAUCCUUAGCCUUAAUUUAUCUGCCUGUAAAAUGGAAAUAAUUGGGAAUACCUAAUUCUGGUUUUAAAAUACACCUUACUUGUAGUUGCUGCAUUUAUUAGGACCUUAUGGAAAUCGUUUUUAUACUUACAGCUGUCAUUACUACCAACAACGUAGUUUUUUGAGGGAAUUGCAAUUCGAAAGGAGAAUUAAUGUCUCUGUUAUUUCUUGGGGCCGCGGUCCUUUAAUAUAACAGUAUCAAGGCAUGCAGAAUAUUUUUAAAGCUUUUAAUAGGUGGAAAAGCGCGCUCCGUGAUAGGGGUGGUCGGUGCCUGUUAUUUAUGAAGUUAGCAUGGGUAGAAAAAAAAACCGUGUUACAAUCUUUUCGAGAUAAACAGGCAGAGAACGAGCGAGAGAGCGAGAGAGAGUCGGCCGAGAUAUUGGGGCAGACUUUUGUUAGCAGCCAAGGAGAAUGGAAAGAAUCUCGGAUUAAUUCGACUUGGCGCUUUCCACAAUCAAGGGAGAUUUUCUACACAUAUUUUUCUUGCGGGAGAUCUUGGCCGAGCGAAGUGUCGAAACAGCGACUGAAUCUCGGCGUCGCAAUUGACCGAGAAGGCGAGAUUGUCGUGGAAGAAGUAUGAAAUAGACACACACACGAACACCAGGAAUGUAUGUCGGGCGAUUCUAGAAGAAUAUAAUCGUGGGUCUGUGUUUUAAAUCCAGUUUGCCCAUUUGAGCGUUACUUGCAAGUUAAUUCCACGGAGCGAAUGAGAGAUUUCGCCCGUGAAAAUGCGGAAGAGACCUCAAGCUAAAACGCUACUUCCACUACAGAAAUAGGAUGAUUGUUGCUAAACAUUCAUUAUUAACUAACACCCCUCCCACCUAGAAAUUGGUUUUAUGCUUCCACCGAAUUCAUACCACUGGAAAAUGUUGUUAUCAAUGUGGCUCUAUUUUCUCGUAGAGAUGCGUAUCCUACCAUCGCUGUUUAUUUUUUUUACUUCUACUACAUGUUAAAAGUACAACUAAUGAAUUCAGUGGGACUCACUCCCAGGGUACUGCAACACACGGGUUCAUACGACCUGGUCUAUACAGUAUAUGCAUCAUAACAAAGUACAAGAAUCCUGAAGGGAUGAAGCAGGCUGUACUACUCCACGUUGUCGUGAUCUGCUGGGAAGCACGUGGAAGAGCCUUUCCUGCUGGUUAAGGCCUCUGGUUUUAAAUCAUAUUCCUCUUUUAAUGGCACCAAAGUUUCAUUUUGCUUCAUGAUAAGGCUGGAAUAGAAGACACUUUUGCUUGGAUGUGGAAUUCAUACUGUCCUUUUGCCUAUGCCUAAAUAAAAUUCUGCAUGUU
Long non-coding RNA from Python bivittatus (Burmese python), 1454 nucleotides. RefSeq lists it as uncharacterized. The record is from RefSeq and is a predicted model, not a curated record. NCBI's taxonomy places the organism in Eukaryota, Metazoa, Chordata, Lepidosauria, Squamata, Pythonidae.